Molecule: ribosomal RNA, 467 nt
Filed under: uncultured bacterium
Lineage: Bacteria
Description: partial 16S ribosomal RNA
Rfam family: Bacterial small subunit ribosomal RNA
Source: RNAcentral
GACGAACGCUGGCGGCGUGCUUAACACAUGCAAGUCGAACGGAGAGGCCCUGCUUUUGUGGGGUGCUCGAGUGGCGAACGGGUGAGUAACACGUGAGUAACCUGCCCUUGACUUUGGGAUAACUUCAGGAAACUGGGGCUAAUACCGGAUAGGAGCUCCUGCUGCACGGUGGGGGUUGGAAAGUUUCGGCGGUUGGGGAUGGACUCGCGGCUUAUCAGCUUGUUGGUGGGGUAGUGGCUUACCAAGGCUUUGACGGGUAGCCGGCCUGAGAGGGUGACCGGCCACAUUGGGACUGAGAUACGGCCCAGACUCCUACGGGAGGCAGCAGUGGGGAAUAUUGCACAAUGGGCGGAAGCCUGAUGCAGCAACGCCGCGUGCGGGAUGACGGCCUUCGGGUUGUAAACCGCUUUCGCCUGUGACGAAGCGUGAGUGACGGUAAUGGGUAAAGAAGCACCGGCUAACUACGU